RNAcentral lists this long non-coding RNA (944 nucleotides) under Gossypium barbadense (sea-island cotton). Its description in RNAcentral is "long non-coding RNA (GBAR_LNC020314)". Lineage: Eukaryota; Viridiplantae; Streptophyta; Magnoliopsida; Malvales; Malvaceae. The record is from RNAcentral.
AAUCGGCAAACAGAUGCAACUAUAUAUAUUAAACAAUUUCUCACAAUCUUAAAAUGUUCCAUUUUUCAGGGUUGGAGGGGGGUCAAGCUUCAAAUUUAGGCAGCACAAGUUUUUUACAUGUAAAAAUGCCGCAAAAAGCUUCAAGCUAACAGUAUUGUUGGCCUGUUAAGCUCUGGUCUGCAUUGCAACAAAAGACCAGCAGCAAUUUCAGCUCAACUCCUGUAGCAAUACUGUUUUGAACUGAAGAAAUGAAGCUGGUCCGAAUGCAACAACAUAUUUUGAUUAUUUUGUUCCUAUGCAACAACAAAAAGGGCAUGGCAGACCCAACAAAUAAGUAGCCCAAUCGGCCCAAAAUAGUUCCUGGCCCGGAACACAAAAAAAAAAAAACAAAAGGAACCCUAGCCCUAAGCAAUAAGGAGCGCCGCAACAAGCCCUCAGCGCCGCAACAGCCCUCGCCUCUAGCGGCCUCUCCAAGCGCCGCACGACUCGGGGCCGACCCCUCUCCACGCGCGCCGGCCUCUCCACGAACGCCUGCAAAAACGGACUCAAGGAGGCCAAAGAAAAAAACAAGAUAAAUAUAUAUAUAUAUAUAUUUAUAUAUUUUAUUUUCUCUUUUCGGCCUAUAAAAGGCCAUUUAAUCUGCAAAAUAAGGACGGAGAAAUACGGAAAAUACAGAGAAAAAUCAAUUGAAGAGCGAGUUGCUUAUUUAUUUUUUUUAAGGUGAUUAUUGGAGUUAUUUUAGAUCUUUUUUUUUCUGAUUUGGGUUUUUAUAUUGCGAAAAAAAUAAAAAAGGAAGAGACCACUUACCUGCUUCACCGAGUCUCCCUCCGUCACGGCUGGAGGCUGAGACGACGAUCGGGUUGCGGCACGCUGCGAAGGAUGGUGCGAGGACGCUAGGGAUUAAACCCUAGCAGAGCACCUAAGAGAUUUUUUUUAUUUUUUUC